ACCUGUGUGACUGCGUACCUUUUGUAUAAUGGGUCAGCGACUUAUAUUCUGUAGCAAGGUUAACCGUAUAGGGGAGCCGGAGGGAAACCGAGUCUUAAUUGGGCGUUAAGUUGCAGGGUAUAGACCCGAAACCCGGUGAUCUAGCCAUGGGCAGGUUGAAGGUUGGGUAACACUAACUGGAGGACCGAACCGACUAAUGUUGAAAAAUUAGCGGAUGACCUGUGGCUGGGGGUGAAAGGCCAAUCAAACCGGGAGAUAGCUGGUUCUCCCCGAAAGCUAUUUAGGUAGCGCCUCGUGAAUUCAUCUCCGGGGGUAGAGCACUGUUUCGGCUAGGGGGCCAUCCCGGCUUACCAACCCGAUGCAAACUGCGAAUACCGGAGAAUGUUAUCACGGGAGACACACGGCGGGUGCUAACGUCCGUCGUGAAGAGGGAAACAACCCAGACCGCCAGCUAAGGUCCCAAAGUCAUGGUUAAGUGGGAAACGAUGUGGGAAGGCCCAGACAGCCAGGAUGUUGGCUUAGAAGCAGCCAUCAUUUAAAGAAAGCGUAAUAGCUCACUGGUCGAGUCGGCCUGCGCGGAAGAUGUAACGGGGCUAAACCAUGCACCGAAGCUGCGGCAGCGAACGUAUCACCCAAGACAACUUUACGGAGUUGACGAUUGACGGAGCGAAGCGACGUCAAAGCGUUCAUUAAAGUCGAGUUGGCUUAGGGAUACGUUCGUUGGGUAGGGGAGCGUUCUGUAAGCCUGUGAAGGUGUGUCGUGAGGCAUGCUGGAGGUAUCAGAAGUGCGAAUGCUGACAUAAGUAACGAUAAAGCGGGUGAAAAGCCCGCUCGCCGGAAGACCAAGGGUUCCUGUCCAACGUUAAUCGGGGCAGGGUGAGUCGACCCCUAAGGCGAGGCCGAAAGGCGUAGUCGAUGGGAAACGGGUUAAUAUUCCCGUACUUGGUGUUACUGCGAAGGGGGGACGGAGAAGGCUAUGUUGGCCGGGCGACGGUUGUCCCGGUUUAAGCGUGUAGGUGUGUGUUCCAGGUAAAUCCGGUUCACUUUAACACUGAGGCGUGACGACGAGGCACUACGGUGCUGAAGCAACAAAUGCCCUGCUUCCAGGAAAAGCCUCUAAGCAUCAGGUAACAUCAAAUCGUACCCCAAACCGACACAGGUGGUCAGGUAGAGAAUACCAAGGCGCUUGAGAGAACUCGGGUGAAGGAACUAGGCAAAAUGGUGCCGUAACUUCGGGAGAAGGCACGCUGACACGUAGGUGAAGUGAUUUACUCAUGGAGCUGAAGUCAGUCGAAGAUACCAGCUGGCUGCAACUGUUUAUUAAAAACACAGCACUGUGCAAACACGAAAGUGGACGUAUACGGUGUGACGCCUGCCCGGUGCCGGAAGGUUAAUUGAUGGGGUCAGCGCAAGCGAAGCUCCUGAUCGAAGCCCCGGUAAACGGCGGCCGUAACUAUAACGGUCCUAAGGUAGCGAAAUUCCUUGUCGGGUAAGUUCCGACCUGCACGAAUGGCGUAAUGAUGGCCAGGCUGUCUCCACCCGAGACUCAGUGAAAUUGAACUCGCUGUGAAGAUGCAGUGUACCCGCGGCAAGACGGAAAGACCCCGUGAACCUUUACUAUAGCUUGACACUGAACAUUGAGCCUUGAUGUGUAGGAUAGGUGGGAGGCUUUGAAGUGUGGACGCCAGUCUGCAUGGAGCCGACCUUGAAAUACCACCCUUUAAUGUUUGAUGUUCUAACGUGGACCCGUAAUCCGGGUUGCGGACAGUGUCUGGUGGGUAGUUUGACUGGGGCGGUCUCCUCCUAAAGAGUAACGGAGGAGCACGAAGGUUGGCUAAUCCUGGUCGGACAUCAGGAGGUUAGUGCAAUGGCAUAAGCCAGCUUGACUGCGAGCGUGACGGCGCGAGCAGGUGCGAAAGCAGGUCAUAGUGAUCCGGUGGUUCUGAAUGGAAGGGCCAUCGCUCAACGGAUAAAAGGUACUCCGGGGAUAACAGGCUGAUACCGCCCAAGAGUUCAUAUCGACGGCGGUGUUUGGCACCUCGAUGUCGGCUCAUCACAUCCUGGGGCUGAAGUAGGUCCCAAGGGUAUGGCUGUUCGCCAUUUAAAGUGGUACGCGAGCUGGGUUUAGAACGUCGUGAGACAGUUCGGUCCCUAUCUGCCGUGGGCGCUGGAGAACUGAGGGGGGCUGCUCCUAGUACGAGAGGACCGGAGUGGACGCAUCACUGGUGUUCGGGUUGUCAUGCCAAUGGCACUGCCCGGUAGCUAAAUGCGGAAGAGAUAAGUGCUGAAAGCAUCUAAGCACGAAACUUGCCCCGAGAUGAGUUCUCCCUGAGAC
Molecule: ribosomal RNA, 2335 nt
Filed under: Salmonella enterica
Lineage: Bacteria; Pseudomonadati; Pseudomonadota; Gammaproteobacteria; Enterobacterales; Enterobacteriaceae
Description: partial 23S ribosomal RNA
Rfam family: Bacterial large subunit ribosomal RNA
Source: RNAcentral